GCUGAUCAGCCAGUAGCGUGCAGGAUUGACGGCCCUAUGGGUUGUAAACUGCUUUUGUUGGGGAGUAAAGUGGGGCACGCGUGCCUUUUUGCAUUUACCCUUCGAAUAAGGACCGGCUAAUUCCGUGCCAGCAGCCGCGGUAAUACGGAAGGUCCAGGCGUUAUCCGGAUUUAUUGGGUUUAAAGGGAGUGUAGGCGGUCUGUUAAGCGUGUUGUGAAAUUUAGGUGCUCAACAUCUACCUUGCAGCGCGAACUGGCGGACUUGAGUGCACGCAACGUAUGCGGAAUUCAUGGUGUAGCGGUGAAAUGCUUAGAUAUCAUGACGAACUCCGAUUGCGAAGGCAGCGUACGGGAGUGUUACUGACGCUUAAGCUCGAAGGUGCGGGUAUCGAACA
RNAcentral lists this ribosomal RNA (394 nucleotides) under Prevotella intermedia. RNAcentral describes it as "bacterial SSU rRNA". It matches the Rfam family "Bacterial small subunit ribosomal RNA", at positions 382 to 774 of the family's 1533-position model. The record is from RNAcentral. Lineage: Bacteria; Pseudomonadati; Bacteroidota; Bacteroidia; Bacteroidales; Prevotellaceae.